AUUGAACGCUAGCGGGAUGCCUUACACAUGCAAGUCGAACGGAGUGGCGAACGGGUGAGUAAUGUAUCGGAACGUGCCCAGCACUUCGGGAUAAGCCUGGGAAACUGGGUCUAAUACCGGAUAGUGUGGGAUGGGCCCGCGGCCUAUCAGCUUGUUGGUGGGGUAAUGGCCUACCAAGGCGGCGACGGGUAGCCGGCCUGAGAGGGUGGACGGCCACAUUGGGGCUGAGACACGGACCAGACUCCUACGGGAGGCAGCGGUGGGGAAUAUUGCACAAUGGGCGGAAGCCUGAUGCAGCGACGCCGCGUGGGGGAUGACGGCCUUCGGGUUGUAAACCCCUUUCACCAUCGACGCGGUAGAUGGAGAAGAAGCACCGGCUAACUACGUGCCAGCAGCCGCGGUAAUAC
Molecule: ribosomal RNA, 407 nt
Filed under: uncultured bacterium
Lineage: Bacteria
Description: partial 16S ribosomal RNA
Rfam family: Bacterial small subunit ribosomal RNA
Source: RNAcentral